Molecule: transfer RNA, 73 nt
Filed under: Diaphorina citri (Asian citrus psyllid)
Lineage: Eukaryota; Metazoa; Arthropoda; Insecta; Hemiptera; Psyllidae
Rfam family: tRNA
About the family: Transfer RNA (tRNA) molecules are approximately 80 nucleotides in length.
Source: Rfam by way of RNAcentral
GCCUGGGUAGCGUAGUGGUUAAGGCGGUUGCCUGGUAAACGGGAGGGCGUGGGUUAGAAUCCCAAUCAAGGCA